UACGUAGGGUCCGAGCGUUGUCCGGAAUUAUUGGGCGUAAAGGGCUCGUAGGCGGUCUGUUGCGUCGGGAGUGAAAACUUACAGCUUAACUGUGAGCGUGCUUCCGAUACGGGCAGACUUGAGGUAUUCAGGGGAGAACGGAAUUCCUGGUGUAGCGGUGAAAUUCGUAGAUAUCGGGAGGAACACCAGUGGCGAAGGCGGCGAUCUGGGCAGAUACUGACGCUGAGGUGCGAAAGCGUGGGGAGCAAACAGG
Molecule: ribosomal RNA, 253 nt
Filed under: uncultured bacterium
Lineage: Bacteria
Description: partial 16S ribosomal RNA
Rfam family: Bacterial small subunit ribosomal RNA
Source: RNAcentral